AACUGUUUCUCUGAGAUUGUUUGC
This 24-nucleotide non-coding RNA is filed under the name Arabidopsis thaliana (thale cress). The record is from RNAcentral. Lineage: Eukaryota; Viridiplantae; Streptophyta; Magnoliopsida; Brassicales; Brassicaceae.